CACGAAACCGGGAAGUGCUCCGCCCGCGACCUGUCUAUCUGUAACAAGAUAUUCUCAAAUUGGGAAGAGCUCAGACAUCUCUGACUGUCAAAAGACAGAUGACCUAGAACCUGUUCGGAGCUCUGUGGAUCAUUAAUUAAUAAUCCGUCUACUCUACAGCAAUCCCACACGAUGGAUGUAAAGGAUCUCGGAGUAAAAAUACUCAGCUUUAUUUCCAUUCUCUCAAAUUGCUCGAUGAACGGAUAUGGUUCAAGCUUGAAGUGUUGUUUCGAGGUUUUGAGAAACCACUCGGUUUCCUAUCAUCUCAGUGAGCCACCUGGAGCCUUCUGCACACCAACAUGGUCAGAAAUGGAAUUCGUUGUGGUUGAUGAACAUGGAGGCGUGGAUGAGACAAAGGUAGUAUAUCUUGAACCCCAGAAGUUAAUCGUCAAAGAAAACACGGAUGAGAAGAUCAAAGAGGUCACAUACCGAAAGGACUGCCUAGGGCAUGCUUUCACUACAAGAUGUAAUGAUCCUUGUCCUGCUUUGGACCCACCCAGAACUACAGCCCCAUACAAUAACACCACUGAAGAAACUGGUAGAAAUCAUGUCAUUAUGUAUAUCAUUGGUGUCAUCAUCAUCUUCAUUAUCGCUGUGACUGUCAUCUGUCUCCGAAGAAAGUGCCAAUCUUGAAAUCUUAAUUUAAGCAGAUGCCAACUGGACGUGACAAAGUGAACAUUGAAAAUCCAGUUGUCCUUUGUGUCAGAGUGCUGGAGUUCGUCAGAAAGAGAACGGGGCAUCAGUUUACUGUCAUGGAUUUGUUGUGUCGUGUCGCGCCGCAUCCACUGAUAGAACAUCACUGGGUUCUAUUUGCUUUUGUCAUGUCGCGCCCCUCUUGACUGGUGUCUGUAGACACGUUGUUUUGGUAUUUGUGAAUCUUAAAGGGAUACUCCAACCCAAAAUGAAAAUUUUGUCAUUAAUCACUUACCCACAUGUCGUUCCAAACCCGUAAAUGCUCUGUUCGUCUUCGGAAUACAAUUUAAGAUAUUUUGGAUGAAAACCGGGAGGCCUGUGACUGUCCCAUAGACUGCCAAGUAAAUAGCAGUGUCAAGGUCCAUAAAAGGUAUGAAAGUCGUCGUCAG
This is a long non-coding RNA of Cyprinus carpio carpio, 1121 nucleotides long. NCBI's taxonomy places the organism in Eukaryota, Metazoa, Chordata, Actinopteri, Cypriniformes, Cyprinidae. The record is from Ensembl.